This 253-nucleotide ribosomal RNA is filed under the name uncultured bacterium. RNAcentral's name for it is "partial 16S ribosomal RNA". It matches the Rfam family "Bacterial small subunit ribosomal RNA", at positions 524 to 776 of the family's 1533-position model. The record is from RNAcentral.
UACGUAGGGUGCGAGCGUUAAUCGGAAUUACUGGGCGUAAAGCGUGCGCAGGCGGUUUUGUAAGUCAGAUGUGAAAUCCCCGGGCUUAACCUGGGAAUGGCAUUUGGGACUGCAAGGCUUGAGUGCGGCAGAGGAGACUGGAAUUCCUGGUGUAGCAGUGAAAUGCGUAGAUAUCAGGAGGGACACCGAUGGCGAAGGCAGGUCUCUGGGCUGACACUGACGCUCAUGCACGAAAGCGUGGGGAGCAAACAGG